UACGUAGGGUGCAAGCGUUGUCCGGAAUUAUUGGGCGUAAAGAGCUCGUAGGCGGUUUGUCGCGUCUGCUGUGAAAACUCGGGGCUUAACCCCGGGCGUGCAGUGGGUACGGGCAGACUAGAGUGCGGUAGGGGAGACUGGAAUUCCUGGUGUAGCGGUGAAAUGCGCAGAUAUCAGGAGGAACACCGGUGGCGAAGGCGGGUCUCUGGGCCGUAACUGACGCUGAGGAGCGAAAGCGUGGGGAGCGAACAGG
RNAcentral lists this ribosomal RNA (253 nucleotides) under uncultured bacterium. RNAcentral's name for it is "partial 16S ribosomal RNA". It matches the Rfam family "Bacterial small subunit ribosomal RNA", at positions 524 to 776 of the family's 1533-position model. The record is from RNAcentral.